GAGCACACGCAUUUCUUCCUCCCUGAAAUUACGUUCUUUAUUAUUCAGCUUCAUUGACUUGAAUAUUGCUUAGAGCAAAAGCAGG
Molecule: small RNA, 85 nt
Filed under: Fibrocapsa japonica
Lineage: Eukaryota; Raphidophyceae; Chattonellales; Chattonellaceae
Description: partial transfer-messenger RNA
Source: RNAcentral